This is a long non-coding RNA of Betta splendens (Siamese fighting fish), 1575 nucleotides long. RefSeq lists it as uncharacterized. The transcript is spliced from 3 exons. The record is from RefSeq and is a predicted model, not a curated record. NCBI's taxonomy places the organism in Eukaryota, Metazoa, Chordata, Actinopteri, Anabantiformes, Osphronemidae.
CCGAUCAUGGAUGUAUUACCCACGCAGGCAAACUGAUGCAGUUAAGCUGUUUCAAUAGAAGGAGCAGUAAAAACCCAGGCUGGGUCAGGAACGGGUCCAGCUCAGAGCACGGUAGUGGUUUGUCCCUGGCAAAGGACAGGCGUCCGGGUCUGUGGCGACACCUGGUGGGCAGAUGGAGCGUUGCAGAUCCGAUGGAGGGGAUCAUUAUCACACUUCUAAUUCAAAAGGAAACAGCCUCCACAUCACAGAGAUGGACGUCCAACAAACGGCGAUGUUCAUGAAGCUCCUCCCGACACGUCCAACAUAAACACCAGCAAAAUACUGAAGCGACCAGUUUGUCUGAGUCUGUUUGUUUGGGACCGUGCUGUCAAAUCCAUCCAUCGGGUCGACAGCUUUAAACACACGCACAAAACAACCUGCUGACUUCACUUUGAUCUAAUCAGGUGAAUGAGUGAAGAAGGUCAUUCCAUAAAUUCUAAUAUUGAAGCUUUUGUGUGAAUUAAUUCAGUGAUGUCAUUAUGACGCAGACCAACCGUUUCUAAAAGCAAAUGUGAAACUGUUUGGCAACGCUCCAGAACCAAAUCUAAUUCCAGUCUGGGAGCAGAGCAGCAGCUCCAACAGGACCACGCGGCGUCGUGAGUUCUGUGAACAUCCGUCCCUGAAACGAGGCGCGGGCUCAUGACAAGGAUACAGAUGUGUUUUAAUGAGCCCGUUCUGGGCCACCGUGCGGUUUGUAUCUGAGACCAAGGCUGCGAGGCUUUAAAAAUACAAAGACAAAGCAGUGAACAAGCAGGGGAGGAAACAGAGGAACGCUGGUUGUGCAGACUGUAGGUGAAGCAGAGGCAGUGGAAACAUCAGACCUUUGGGAUGUUGAAGAAAACACCAAAGCUUGAUUUGUGCUAUUACACCACCAAACCACUAGUUGGCAGCAGAGGACGCAGACGCCAGCGUCACCUUCAGCUACUGAGCUGACUGAACGGUCUUCAUAGAGUCGAAGCUAAUAGAUGCUGAACAGUGUUUACUGUGUCUGCGCGUCCACUGUGACAUCUGCUUUGUAUUUUGUGGACACAAACCAAAGGCAAACAAAGGACGGAGCGACGCCUUUUUAGCGUCGUGGGAUAAAACCGUCCCCUGCGGCUCUGAGAGGACGGAGCGGAAAGUGUCGCUGAGGACAUGAGUGUUAGAGGACUUCACUUCACAGCUGAACCCCUGCAGGAGGUGGUGCAGGAAGAGAAGCUGGAGGCAGCGCUUUGCAGUCACACCUCCAAAUGCCGCUCUUCAGCUAAAGGUCGAGGCCCAUGUGUUGUGGAAAAGCGCCGGUCGGGGAAGAACCCGGCUCCUCUGUGUGAAUAGUGAUAGCUCAUUAGUUUCACGUAGGACUAGUACUGAAGCAGUGAGAGGAACCGGAGACAUUUCUCAAAUUUGCCAAAAGACAGAGACGAGGAGAUCGUUUCACUGAGAGGUCGUCCGUCCCACAGACCAGGAACCCGUCAGGACGUAUGAAGAAGGUUCAGCCAGAACCAGAACCACAGGCUGGACCCACUCAUUCCCUCCAGACAAUGAUAAUUAGAGGAG